Molecule: ribosomal RNA, 450 nt
Filed under: uncultured bacterium
Lineage: Bacteria
Description: bacterial SSU rRNA
Rfam family: Bacterial small subunit ribosomal RNA
Source: RNAcentral
GUGGGGAAUUUUGGACAAUGGGCGCAAGCCUGAUCCAGCCAUUCCGCGUGCAGGAUGAAGGCCUUCGGGUUGUAAACUGCUUUUGUACGGAACGAAAAGCCUCUGGUUAAUACCCGGGGGUCAUGACGGUACCGUAAGAAUAAGCACCGGCUAACUACGUGCCAGCAGCCGCGGUAAUACGUAGGGUGCGAGCGUUAAUCGGAAUUACUGGGCGUAAAGCGUGCGCAGGCGGUGAUGUAAGACAGUUGUGAAAUCCCCGGGCUCAACCUGGGAACUGCAUCUGUGACUGCAUUGCUGGAGUGCGGCAGAGGGGGAUGGAAUUCCGCGUGUAGCAGUGAAAUGCGUAGAUAUGCGGAGGAACACCGAUGGCGAAGGCAAUCCCCUGGGCCUGCACUGACGCUCAUGCACGAAAGCGUGGGGAGCAAACAGGAUUAGAAACCCCUGUAGUCC